GCCCAAUUCUAACUUGAUCGGCUAAGUGGAUAGUGCUUGAAAAUCUGUCUUCCUGUCUUACUAUUGUCCUCUGAGACUGAGUCAACUAACUUUCUAACUUGAUCGACUAAGAUUUUGUCUGGAUCGACUAAGCAAAAUCUGGAUUGACUAAGUCUUCUACAACCAAAAAUUUGGCUUUCUAUUACUGAUACUUAGUCGGCUCAAAUAUCCUCUUAGUCGAUUCAAAUUAUGUGCCAAGCAUGCCAUAAAAUUUUUGACAGUCUUUCUUCUCUAAAUUCAUUUCUAGA
This 287-nucleotide long non-coding RNA is filed under the name Elaeis guineensis (African oil palm). Its description in RNAcentral is "long non-coding RNA (EGUI_LNC040509)". Lineage: Eukaryota; Viridiplantae; Streptophyta; Magnoliopsida; Arecales; Arecaceae. The record is from RNAcentral.